GCAGUCCUAGUUUCAAAAGUGGCUCUGAGGCGGAGAAUGCAAUUCUGCUGAAAACAGGCAUGUCAGAAGAUUUGGCAGAGCCUCUCUAAAUAAUAGAGAGCAUUAAUCAUCUAUGUGAACUUUAUAUGACCAAGAAACAGCAAGAAAUCAAAAAUUCUGCAUUCAUUUUGUAACCAAGGAAAUGAACAAACGAAAUAUAUAAAAAAGUCUCAAGAGCAGGAUCAUACAAAGUUAUAAAUGAAGUUGAUGUUCCAUUUGUUAAAGCACAAAUGACUCUUCAGUAUUACAAAAAGUUUCACACUUACAACUAUUGUAAGUUAAUACUGUCAUAAUCACGGUCCAAAACCAAAUGAAUAGAACAGAACUGUUACUUAGAAAUGUCUACAUAGGUAGAGAUGAGCGAAACAAUAAUGGCCCAGUAGAUGCAUGUAACCAUGUGGGGGUGUUUGAAGUAAGCACUGGUAGUAAAUUUUGGAAUUAUGAAUUUUUUAUUUGUAUUUUUAUUUAUUUUUUAUACAUUCUAAAUGUAUUUGAUCCAGCAAAACAUCCUUUGUAAAAAUGUCAGAAAUCAUUUAUGAAUUGCAUUGUUGAAAAAAAAAACUAAAAAAACAUGAACGACAUGAUGUACAGUACAGGCCAGAAAUAAUAGUAAAAAAAAAAAAAAAUU
Molecule: long non-coding RNA, 667 nt
Organism: Bufo bufo (common toad)
Lineage: Eukaryota; Metazoa; Chordata; Amphibia; Anura; Bufonidae
Exons: 2
Source: RefSeq, a predicted model, not a curated record